This 483-nucleotide ribosomal RNA is filed under the name uncultured bacterium. RNAcentral's name for it is "partial 16S ribosomal RNA". It matches the Rfam family "Bacterial small subunit ribosomal RNA", at positions 30 to 507 of the family's 1533-position model. The record is from RNAcentral.
AUUGAACGCUGGCGGCAGGCCUAACACAUGCAAGUCGAGCGGAUGAAGGGAGCUUGCUCCUGGAUUCAGCGGCGGACGGGUGAGUAAUGCCUAGGAAUCUGCCUGGUAGUGGGGGAUAACGUCCGGAAACGGGCGCUAAUACCGCAUACGUCCUGAGGGAGAAAGUGGGGGAUCUUCGGACCUCACGCUAUCAGAUGAGCCUAGGUCGGAUUAGCUAGUUGGUGGGGUAAAGGCCUACCAAGGCGACGAUCCGUAACUGGUCUGAGAGGAUGAUCAGUCACACCGGAACUGAGACACGGUCCAGACUCCUACGGGAGGCAGCAGUGGGAAUAUUGGACAAUGGGCGAAAGCCUGAUCCAGCCAUGCCGCGUGUGUGAAGAAGGUCUUCGGAUUGUAAAGCACUUUAAGUUGGGAGGAAGGGCAGUAAGUUAAUACCUUGCUGUUUUGACGUUACCAACAGAAUAAGCACCGGCUAACUUCGUG